Molecule: ribosomal RNA, 396 nt
Filed under: uncultured bacterium
Lineage: Bacteria
Description: bacterial SSU rRNA
Rfam family: Bacterial small subunit ribosomal RNA
Source: RNAcentral
AUCCAGCCAUGCCGCGUGUGUGAAGAAGGUCUUCGGAUUGUAAAGCACUUUAAGUUGGGAGGAAGGGUUGUAGAUUAAUACUCUGCAAUUUUGACGUUACCGACAGAAUAAGCACCGGCUAACUUCGUGCCAGCAGCCGCGGUAAUACGUAGGUGGCAAGCGUUGUCCGGAUUUACUGGGCGUAAAGGAUGCGUAGGCGGAUAUUUAAGUGAGAUGUGAAAUACCCGGGCUCAACUUGGGUGCUGCAUUUCAAACUGGAUAUCUAGAGUGCAGGAGAGGAAAGUGGAAUUCCUAGUGUAGCGGUGAAAUGCGUAGAGAUUAGGAAGAACAUCAGUGGCGAAGGCGACUUUCUGGACUGUAACUGACGCUGAGGCAUGAAAGCGUGGGGAGCAAACA